This 72-nucleotide transfer RNA is filed under the name Cavia porcellus (domestic guinea pig). It matches the Rfam family "tRNA". Rfam says of the family: Transfer RNA (tRNA) molecules are approximately 80 nucleotides in length. Their secondary structure includes four short double-helical elements and three loops (D, anti-codon, and T loops). Further hydrogen bonds mediate the characteristic L-shaped molecular structure. tRNAs have two regions of fundamental functional importance: the anti-codon, which is responsible for specific mRNA codon recognition, and the 3' end, to which the tRNAs corresponding amino acid is attached (by aminoacyl-tRNA synthetases). tRNAs cope with the degeneracy of the genetic code in two manners: having more than one tRNA (with a specific anti-codon) for a particular amino acid; and 'wobble' base-pairing, i.e. permitting non-standard base-pairing at the 3rd anti-codon position. Lineage: Eukaryota; Metazoa; Chordata; Mammalia; Rodentia; Caviidae. The record is from Rfam by way of RNAcentral.
UGUGAUGUGGCUCAGUAUAAGAGCACUUGCCUAUCAUGCAUGAAGUCUUGUGUUUGAAUCCCAGCACUACAA